RNAcentral lists this microRNA precursor (102 nucleotides) under Marmota monax (woodchuck). The record is from RNAcentral. Lineage: Eukaryota; Metazoa; Chordata; Mammalia; Rodentia; Sciuridae.
AGAGGAAUUUCUGGAUCAUAUGUCCACUAUAUGUUUAGCUUUUUGAGGAACUGCAAAACUAUUUUCCAAAGCGGCUGCACCCUAUCCACUCCCACCAGCAAU